GACGAACGCUGGCGGCGUGCUUAACACAUGCAAGUCGAACGGAAAGGCCCUGCUUUUGGGGGGUGCUCGAGUGGCGAACGGGUGAGUAACACGUGAGUAACCUGCCCUGGACUUUGGGAUAACUUCAGGAAACUGGGGCUAAUACCGGAUAGGAGCUCCUGCUGCAUGGCGGGGGUUGGAAAGUUUCGGCGGUUGGGGAUGGACUCGCGGCUUAUCAGCUUGUGGGUGGGGUAGUGGCUUACCAAGGCUUUGACGGGUAGCCGGCCUGAGAGGGUGACCGGCCACAUUGGGACUGAGAUACGGCCCCGACUCCUACGGGAGGCAGCAGUGGGGAAUAUUGCACAAUGGGCGGAAGCCUGAUGCAGCAACGCCGCGUGCGGGAUGACGGCCUUCGGGUUGUAAACCGCUUUCGCCUGUGACGAAGCGUGAGUGACGGUAAUGGGUAAAGAAGCACCGGCUAACUACGUG
RNAcentral lists this ribosomal RNA (468 nucleotides) under uncultured bacterium. Its description in RNAcentral is "partial 16S ribosomal RNA". It matches the Rfam family "Bacterial small subunit ribosomal RNA", at positions 28 to 507 of the family's 1533-position model. The record is from RNAcentral.